This 501-nucleotide ribosomal RNA is filed under the name uncultured bacterium. RNAcentral describes it as "partial 16S ribosomal RNA". It matches the Rfam family "Bacterial small subunit ribosomal RNA", at positions 29 to 523 of the family's 1533-position model. The record is from RNAcentral.
AUUGAACGCUGGCGGCAUGCCUUACACAUGCAAGUCGAACGGCAGCGCGGGUGCUUGCACCUGGUGGCGAGUGGCGAACGGGUGAGUAAUAGAUCGGAACGUACCUUAUCGUGGGGGAUAACGCAGCGAAAGCUGUGCUAAUACCGCAUACGCCCUGAGGGGGAAAGCGGGGGAUCGCAAGAACCCGCGCGAUUGGAGCUGCCGAGGCCUGCUUAGCUUGUUGGUGGGGGAAAAGCCCACCAAGGCGACGAUCAGUAGCUGGUCUGAGAGGACGAUCAGCCACACUGGGACUGAGACACGGCCCAGACUCCUACGGGAGGCAGCAGUGGGGAAUUUUGGACAAUGGGGGCAACCCUGGUCCAGCAAUGCCGCGUGAGUGAAGAAGGCUUUCGGGUUGUAAAGCUCUUUUGUCAGGGAAGAAACACCGGCUCUAACACAGUCCGGGAAUGACGGUACCUGAAGAAUAAGCACCGGCUAACUACGUGCCAGCAGCCGCCGUAA